CAAUUGAUGGCACUAGAGGUUUUGUCAGAGGAAAUGAGGCCCUAUAUGUGGUAUGUUUUAUUUAUUUAUUUGUUGUGUUUUAUUUAAGAAGUUUUUAAAACUAAAAAGUUUGGUUUAGUUAUAUUUAAUUUUUUAUUGAAGCCCUUUUCUGUGUCUUUAGCAUUCCUUGGGAUUUCCUUUUGUCUUAAAGUCAGUAAUGAGGUGCUUUGGCCAUCUUAUUUUGAAGAGCAACUUUUGGCUAAAGCUCCAAAAAUGAUACUUCUGGCAAAAGAGGCUGCAACAACUUCGCAAUAAACUCCAAAUUAAUUAAUUCACUCAGAAGGAAUAGAUGUUCAUUUGCUAUGCAAUUACAUGCUUAUUAACGGAUUUGUAUGACUUGCCUCUAGGGUACAAGCACAGAUAAUUGUGAAUCCAUAAUCUGUAUCUUAACUGUAUAUCACUGUAUACCUUUCAUUAUGUUUAAAGUGAUGGCUGAUUUAGUUUAAAGUUUUCUUACAUUUCUUACAUAUGACCGGGUUGAAAAUAUCUGUUAUGCAAAGGACGAGUAGAGGUUAUUUUAUGCUAUAUUUAUAAUCCCUUGCAUCAGCAUGGGAAUAGAGUGGGAUAUGCAGUUGAUGGUUCAUCAUAGAUUGAUGUGAUGAUGAAAUGGGUUAUGUUUUCCAAGACCAUGAAUGCAAAAUGUAGUUUCAAAGCACGUUACUCUAUUUAAGAAUUAAGGUACUGCUUGUUGACAGGUAUUCUGAUAGAAAAAUAACAACAUAUAGAUAUCCGAUUAAAUGUUCUAUACACAUGAAAUGGACAUCAAUAAUUUUCUCAUCUGUGAUUUGGUUGUUUGUUUGUAUGUGUAAGGGUUCGUGUUGCUGUUCCUGUCACUUGGAACUUGGGGAUUAUUGUAAGUCCAACUAGAUAAUCAAGUAAGCUAAGUGAACAUCCUUUAUAAUAUCUAGCUGUAAAGAAUAAAAGUGCUUUGUUAAGAAUUGAUAGGUUGUAUAAAAAUUUGUGGUCCUGCAUAUCAUACAGAAAUUUGAUACCAAAAUCUACUUAGUAGUCUCCAAGAAACAUUUUUAAGUGGCAUGUAUAUGCCUUGGCAGAAGUAUUUUAGAGUACAUGGCUGAAAAUAAAUUUCUAUUGCACAGCAGAUCUAGUAUUUAUUUUUUGUGUUCUGAUCUAUUCCCUUUUUUUUUUUUCUCUGCUCGCUGAGCAAUUAGCAUAUAUGCUGAUUUUUUA
RNAcentral lists this unclassified non-coding RNA (1227 nucleotides) under Hevea brasiliensis (rubber tree). The record is from RNAcentral. Lineage: Eukaryota; Viridiplantae; Streptophyta; Magnoliopsida; Malpighiales; Euphorbiaceae.